This 1178-nucleotide ribosomal RNA is filed under the name Nocardia coubleae. RNAcentral describes it as "bacterial SSU rRNA". It matches the Rfam family "Bacterial small subunit ribosomal RNA", at positions 41 to 1258 of the family's 1533-position model. Lineage: Bacteria; Bacillati; Actinomycetota; Actinomycetes; Mycobacteriales; Nocardiaceae. The record is from RNAcentral.
GGCGGCAACACCAUGCACGUCGUACCAGUNUACCAUUCGGGGGUACACGAGCGGCGAACGGGUGAGUAACACGUGGGUGAUCUGCCUUGCACUUCGGGAUAAGCCUGGGAAACUGGGUCUAAUACCGGAUAUGACCUUCCAGUGCAUGCUGGUUGGUGGAAAGAUUUAUCGGUGCGAGAUGGGCCCGCGGCCUAUCAGCUUGUUGGUGAGGUAACGGCUCACCAAGGCGACGACGGGUAGCCGACCUGAGAGGGUGACCGGCCACACUGGGACUGAGACACGGCCCAGACUCCUACGGGAGGCAGCAGUGGGGAAUAUUGCACAAUGGGCGAAAGCCUGAUGCAGCGACGCCGCGUGCGGGAUGACGGCCUUCGGGUUGUAAACCGCUUUUGACAGGGACGAAGCGCGAGUGACUGUACCUGUAGAAUAAGGACCGGCCAACUACGUGCCAGCAGCCGCGGUAAUACGUAGGGUCCGAGCGUUGUCCGGAAUUACUGGGCGUAAAGAGCUUGUAGGCGGUUCGUCGCGUCGUUUGUGAAAACUUGGGGCUCAACCUUAAGCUUGCAGGCGAUACGGGCGGACUAGAGUACUUCAGGGGAGACUGGAAUUCCUGGUGUAGCGGUGAAAUGCGCAGAUAUCAGGAGGAACACCGGUGGCGAAGGCGGGUCUCUGGGAAGUAACUGACGCUGAGAAGCGAAAGCAUGGGUAGCAAACAGGAUUAGAUACCCUGGUAGUCCAUGCCGUAAACGGUGGGUACUAGGUGUGGGGCUCCUUCCACGGACUCCGUGCCGUAGCUAACGCAUUAAGUACCCCGCCUGGGGAGUACGGCCGCAAGGCUAAAACUCAAAGAAAUUGACGGGGGCCCGCACAAGCGGCGGAGCAUGUGGAUUAAUUCGAUGCAACGCGAAGAACCUUACCUGGGUUUGACAUACACCAGAAAGCGGUAGAGAUGUCGCCCCCCUUGUGGUUUGGUGUACAGGUGGUGCAUGGGCUGUCGUCAGCUCGUGUCGUGAGAUGUUGGUAAGUCCCGCAACGAGCGCAACCCUUAUCUUAUGUUGCCAGCGCGUAAUGUCGUGAGAGACUGCCGGGUCACUCGGAGGGUGGGGCGACGUCAGUCAUCAUGCCCCUUAGUCAGGGUACACAUGCUACAUGACGUGCACGCUCCUUAAAGGAUCUUC